CGUAAUAGCUGGUUCUCUCCGAAACAGCUUUAGGGUUGGCGUCGCGUGUUCCCACUGGGGGUAGAGCACUGGAAAGAAAGAACAGGGAGAAAUCUCGUCUUUCUUAUCAAACUCCGAAUACCAGUUGGUUAAGAGCGCGGCAGUUAGACUAUGGGGGCGAAGCUCCAUUGGUCAAAAGGGAAACAGCCCAGACCGCCAGUUAAGGUCCCUAAAUAUAUACUCAGUGCAAAGUGAGGAGGUGAGGAUUCCUCAACAGCCAGGAGGUUGGCUUAGAAGCAGCCAUCCUUUAAAGAUAGCGUAAUAGCUCACUGGUCGAGAGUCCUUGCGCCGAAAAUGAUCGGGGCUCAAGUAUAUUACCGAAACUGCGGAUUCGCACACUUCAUUGAGGAAAAGUAAAUCAACAAACAACAAAAGAGGUUUGUUAUGAGUAAAUUAAGAAGCAAAUUUAACAAAUGGGUGAGUACUCAUCCAUGGCUAGGAGCAUUCAUUUUUGUUCCAGGUAUACCAAUGUUAUUUUUCCUGAUUCUUUUCAGUCUUCCUAAAGUAUAGGAAUUUCCUGAGGAUUCGUCCUCGGGUCCUCAAUGAAGUGUGCGAGUG
RNAcentral lists this ribosomal RNA (597 nucleotides) under Dehalococcoidia bacterium. RNAcentral's name for it is "partial 23S ribosomal RNA". It matches the Rfam family "Bacterial large subunit ribosomal RNA", at positions 841 to 1227 of the family's 2925-position model. Lineage: Bacteria; Bacillati; Chloroflexota; Dehalococcoidia. The record is from RNAcentral.